Long non-coding RNA from Mus musculus (house mouse), 1202 nucleotides. RefSeq annotates it as predicted gene, 41955. The transcript is spliced from 3 exons. The record is from RefSeq and is a predicted model, not a curated record. NCBI's taxonomy places the organism in Eukaryota, Metazoa, Chordata, Mammalia, Rodentia, Muridae.
GGCUGGAGAUGUCGCUCUUGGGUACACUUGCCAAGCAUAUCCAAGGCCUUGGACAUCAGUUACCAGCAUGUGUUUUGCCUGGUGUCCACAAAAGCCACAAGAAGAUAUUGGAUCCCCUGGAAAUGAAGUUCCUGGGAGUUGUGAGCCUUCAUGUGCCUGCUGAGACUUGAACCCAGGAAGAGGAGCUUAGCCAUUGCCACAGGUUUGCUGGCCUGAGCAUCCUCUCAGCCAACCCAGCCUGCCAGUGCUCCCCAACUUCCCAACCUACCAGGGCUAUCCAACUUCCCAGACUUUUCUUCCCCCACCCCCCCACCCCCCAUUGAAAUAUCUUGAGUGGCCAAGAUCUUUCUAUGUAAGCAUGAGAUCAGAUCUCCAGCAGCUUCCUGGAGCCAGAUGCAGCAGCACAUCUACCUGUGGUCUCUGCUCUCAGCCAUCUGAGCUGUGCGGACAGGAGACUCCUCAGACGCGUUCUAUGCCUGCUACAUGUCACACCAUGGCGGUGAAGGAGUCUCAGAUAAAGUGGAAGACCCCUGAGGACCCCAGUCACCUCUCAGCGGAAGGUGAAAGAGAACACCUACCUGUGCCUGUUCCCAUGGCUUCCCACCGCGUUCUCCCCACCGUAUGGUACUAAUCCACUGUGGCUUCAUGGCGGAGGGAGGGGAUGGGGGCAUUCCCAUGUUCUAAAAUUCACUCGUGUGUUGAGUGAGUUUUGGCACAUGCCAACAAUCCUGUGCUCCGCACACAAUCAAGUCUUGGAGCAUUUCUUUCCUUUUUGAAUUUUAUGCAUAUAGGUAUUUUACCCGAAUGCAUGUCUGUGCACAGUGUGUGUGUGCCUGGUGCCUGCAGAGGUCAGAAAAGGGUCAGAUCCUUUGGUGUUAUAGACAGUUGUGAUCCAUCGCCAUAUGGGUGCCAAGCACUGAACACAGUCUGUGUGUUUAACAUCCAAGCCAUCUCUCCAGUCACUUUCUUGUUUUGGUUUUGAGAGGAUCUCACCACGCAGCUCUGUCAUGCCUGGAACUCAUUCUGUGGGCCAGGCUGACCUUGAACUCACAGAAGCAACCUGCCUCUGAGAAGACCAGAAUUUGGUUCCCAGAAUUCACAUUCCCCGCUGCUAUCAAUCUCUGUAACUUCAGUUCCGGGGAAUCCAUCGCCCCCUCCAUCCUCCAUGGGCACUGCACUCACAUGGUACCCUGACAUAUGUG